This 69-nucleotide transfer RNA is filed under the name Solecurtus divaricatus (divaricate short razor). RNAcentral's name for it is "tRNA-Leu". Lineage: Eukaryota; Metazoa; Mollusca; Bivalvia; Cardiida; Solecurtidae. The record is from RNAcentral.
GCCAAGGUGGUAGAAUUAAAUAUAUAAGAUUUAGGAUCUUGGGGUGGGAUAAUAAGGUCCCCUUUGGUG